UUCUAUUCUUCCAAAGUUUUGACUUAUUUAUUGCAUAAUUUUUUCUUAUAAAGAAUCGUUAAAUCUUAUUCUAUUUGAUGAUGAAAAAACUUUUGGGACAAUUUGAUAAAAAGAUAGAAAAGAGGUAGAAGAAAAUAGAGGUUAUGGUUGACGGUCGACACGUCAAUUCAAUUCAUUUCAUUUUUUUUUUUUUUCUUCGAUUGCCCAUGGAUGGAUCGAGGAAACCAUUGAAGCGGAUUUAAAAUAAUGCAGGAGUCCGUCCCAUCUGUAGAGAUCGUUCCAUUUAAAUAGUGUAUGAUACACAUUGUUAGAUACAACAAAUAUCCAGAGCAGGGGGACGAAGACAUUGAUAGAAACCAGAUAUGGCACAAGUAGCAGUUCACAGAGAAUGGAUUUCAUUGUACGCAAUCAAGUGAAUACGAUCGACAAUGCAGAGAGCAAUGAAUGAAUUGAUGAGAGUUAUUAUUAGUUACGAGCAUGAUAAUCAGCUCCAUCCUGAAACAGAUGAAAAGCUUCCUCCUCGGCUGCUUCCUCUUCCUCAGCUUUCUUCUGCAAUUCAUCGUAAGACAUCGCGACAAUAGCAAGAAUCAAGUUGACGAGAUAAAACGAGCCAAGAAAAAUGAUCACGAUGAAGAACAACAUAUGCCAUGGGCCGGCCGAUCUAAGCACCAAUUGGUACAGAUUUUCCCAAUAAUCUUGCGUCAUCAGACGAAAGGCGGAUAACAAUGCCCAGCCGAAGGUAUCGAAACUCGUGUAACCGUAAUUCGGAUUUUCACCGUAUCCUUGUAAACACGUGUAACCAGGAAGGCACUGCCUGUAUAUCAAUAAAUUGUAUCCAUUAGAUCCAAUGAUUUAUCACGAUGAUAUAUAACAAAAAUUUGUAUUAUAUAUAAGAA
Molecule: long non-coding RNA, 896 nt
Organism: Apis florea (little honeybee)
Lineage: Eukaryota; Metazoa; Arthropoda; Insecta; Hymenoptera; Apidae
Source: RefSeq, a predicted model, not a curated record